Molecule: transfer RNA, 81 nt
Filed under: Collybia nuda
Lineage: Eukaryota; Fungi; Basidiomycota; Agaricomycetes; Agaricales; Clitocybaceae
Description: Lepista nuda tRNA-Glu
Rfam family: tRNA
About the family: Transfer RNA (tRNA) molecules are approximately 80 nucleotides in length. Their secondary structure includes four short double-helical elements and three loops (D, anti-codon, and T loops). Further hydrogen bonds mediate the characteristic L-shaped molecular structure. tRNAs have two regions of fundamental functional importance: the anti-codon, which is responsible for specific mRNA codon recognition, and the 3' end, to which the tRNAs corresponding amino acid is attached (by aminoacyl-tRNA synthetases). tRNAs cope with the degeneracy of the genetic code in two manners: having more than one tRNA (with a specific anti-codon) for a particular amino acid; and 'wobble' base-pairing, i.e. permitting non-standard base-pairing at the 3rd anti-codon position.
Source: RNAcentral
UCGGGUAUGGUGUAACGGCUAACAUUGCCGCCUCUCAUAUUCGGAACGCGGCAGCUCGGGGUUCGAUUCCCCGUACCCGAA